UACGUAGGGGGCAAGCGUUGUCCGGAAUCAUUGGGCGUAAAGAGCGCGUAGGCGGCCAGGUAGGUCAGCUGUGAAAACUCGAGGCUCAACCUCGAGACGCCGGUUGAAACCAUCUGGCUAGAGUCCGGAAGAGGAGAGUGGAAUUCCUGGUGUAGCGGUGAAAUGCGCAGAUAUCAGGAAGAACACCCGUGGCUAAGGCGGCUCUCUAGUACGGUACUGACGCUGAGACGCGAAAGCGUGGGGAGCGAACAGG
RNAcentral lists this ribosomal RNA (253 nucleotides) under uncultured bacterium. RNAcentral's name for it is "partial 16S ribosomal RNA". It matches the Rfam family "Bacterial small subunit ribosomal RNA", at positions 524 to 776 of the family's 1533-position model. The record is from RNAcentral.